AGUUAAUGAACUUGAAAUAAGUGUAUAUUUUGAAAAUAUAAAAUAGAAGAAUCAUCUUCUAUUAACUU
This 68-nucleotide transfer RNA is filed under the name Sepedophilus bipunctatus. RNAcentral's name for it is "tRNA-Ser". The record is from RNAcentral. Lineage: Eukaryota; Metazoa; Arthropoda; Insecta; Coleoptera; Staphylinidae.